Spinacia oleracea (spinach) is the source of this 1197-nucleotide long non-coding RNA. RefSeq lists it as uncharacterized. The transcript has 2 exons. The record is from RefSeq and is a predicted model, not a curated record. NCBI's taxonomy places the organism in Eukaryota, Viridiplantae, Streptophyta, Magnoliopsida, Caryophyllales, Amaranthaceae.
UUUAGUAAAAAUUUUAAAACGCCAUUUACAUGCGAAAUUCACUAUAAAAUUAUACAAAUUUUUUAAAACGACCGACUGACCUGUCUGACCGCCCACCCAUGGGUGUGGCGCGGGUCAAUUCUAUUUUUGCGGGUCGAAAAAAUUGCUUACCGGGUCGCGUAUAACAGCUACAUUUCUUUCUCUCUCACCUCAAACACAACUUUCUCUCUCCUUCUUCCAUGUCGCCCGACAACUUCUGGCCUCUUUCUCCUCCUCAUCUCCGUCACGAUCUAUACCAUCUCCGGUACUCUCUCUUUUCUCGCUCCUCUAGAGAUGAAGAGAUGACGGCGUUUUGUAGAUCAGAGGAGCAACCGGUGACGGCAGAAUUAGGAACCGCUCUUGCGGCGGCUGCACCGGUGGCUCUGAUUCGCUGCUUAUAUAUGGUGGUCACAUUCGUCGUUGUUGGUGGUGGCUUGAGCUAGUGGUUCAGCAUCUGAAGUUAAACCUCGUCUAUGGAGUGACACGAUAAUAUUUCAAUCAAGGAAACACCAAGGAGUGUCUCAAGUUGAGCUGUUAUGUUUUCAAGAAGGCUUUCUCGGGAUCAGACUCAAGCUAAACGUAUUUUGGAUUGCAGCAUGGCUGAGGCAUGAAGCGCCUACUUACAGUAGGGCGGUUUGGGAGGUAUCCUGCAUAAGGAUACUGCCCAAAGUUGACAGCAGCAUGCAAGGCAGAAGCUACCCAUAUGAUGGUGGUGCAUGUACUUGUAAGAGCAUGCCUGGUUUUCAUUUCUAGCCACCAUGUUUCAUCUUUUUUUAUCACCAUGCCCCCACAUUUCAGAUCUUAUUCCACCAAGAUUGAAGUUCAGGAUCAAUUUCUACUAGGCUGUCUGUUGGAUAGUAGAACCAGCAAUAAUCAUUCACUCAUGUCUCAACUGCAAAGGGGUAAUCCUCAAUCAACAACUUUAGGCCAUGCGGGUGGCUGGAAUCCUUAACUACCAUCCCUCUAGAAUGUUGCAAAAAUCCUAUACGAUUUGAAAUGUAAUAUUGCAGUAAAAGUUGCAAUGCAUGUUGUGGCUUAAUGAUACAUGUAAAUGAAACUACCUAUUGGGAAGAUCAGUAGGAAGUGCUUCAUCAGCGAAAGCUCAACUUUUGUAUACAAAUGAUGACAAUUCCAAGCGAAUUUUUCUUGUUUCACCAGCAUUUAAUGAGGAUUUGCCUA